RNAcentral lists this ribosomal RNA (573 nucleotides) under uncultured bacterium. Its description in RNAcentral is "partial 16S ribosomal RNA". It matches the Rfam family "Bacterial small subunit ribosomal RNA", at positions 355 to 932 of the family's 1533-position model. The record is from RNAcentral.
UGAGGAAUAUUGGUCAAUGGGCGAGAGCCUGAACCAGCCAAAUCGCGUGAAGGAAGACUGCCUUAUGGGUUGUAAACUUCUUUUAUACAGGAAUAAAAAAGGGGACGUGUCCCUUAUUGCAUGUACUGUAUGAAUAAGCAUCGGCUAACUCCGUGCCAGCAGCCGCGGUAAUACGGAGGAUGCGAGCGUUAUCCGGAUUUAUUGGGUUUAAAGGGUGCGCAGGCGGGCUUUUAAGUCAGCGGUGAAAUCUCGGGGCUUAACUCCGAAACUGCCGUUGAAACUGGGAGUCUUGAGUAUGGAUGAAGUAGGCGGAAUUCGUUGUGUAGCGGUGACAUGCUUAGAUAUAACGAGGAACUCCGAUUGCGUAGGCAGCUUACUAAGCCAUAACUGACGCUCAAGCACGAAAGUGUGGGGAUCAAACAGGAUUAGAUACCCCUGGUAGUCCACGCCGUAAACGAUGAUUACUAGUUGUAUGCGAUAUACCGUAUGUGACUAAGCGAAAGCGAUAAGUAAUCCACCUGGGGAGUACGCCGGCAACGGUGAAACUCAAAUGAAUUGACGGGGUCAUAGCUG